RNAcentral lists this ribosomal RNA (460 nucleotides) under uncultured bacterium. RNAcentral's name for it is "partial 16S ribosomal RNA". It matches the Rfam family "Bacterial small subunit ribosomal RNA", at positions 338 to 795 of the family's 1533-position model. The record is from RNAcentral.
CCUACGGGGGGCAGCAGUGAGGAAUAUUGGUCAAUGGACGAGAGUCUGAACCAGCCAAGUAGCGUGAAGGAUGACUGCCCUAUGGGUUGUAAACUUCUUUUAUAUGGGAAUAAAAUGUUCCACGUGUGGGAUUUUGUAUGUACCAUAUGAAUAAGGAUCGGCUAACUCCGUGCCAGCAGCCGCGGUAAUACGGAGGAUCCGAGCGUUACCCGGAUUUAUUGGGUUUAAAGGGAGCGUAGGUGGAUUGUUAAGUCAGUUGUGAAAGUUUGCGGCUCAACCGUAAAAUUGCAGUUGAAACUGGCAGUCUUGAGUACAGUAGAGGUGGGCGGAAUUCGUGGUGUAGCGGUGAAAUGCUUAGAUAUCACGAAGAACUCCGAUUGCGAAGGCAGUUCACUGGACUGCAACUGACACUGAGGCUCGAAAGUGUGGGUAUCAAACAGGAUUAGAUACCCCAGUAGUC